RNAcentral lists this ribosomal RNA (115 nucleotides) under Dickeya chrysanthemi Ech1591. Lineage: Bacteria; Pseudomonadati; Pseudomonadota; Gammaproteobacteria; Enterobacterales; Pectobacteriaceae. The record is from RNAcentral. RNAcentral also lists the same sequence under 2 other names.
UGGCGGCGAGAGCGCGGUGGUCCCACCUGACCCCAUGCCGAACUCAGAAGUGAAACGCCGUAGCGCCGAUGGUAGUGUGGGGUCUCCCCAUGCGAGAGUAGGGAACUGCCAGGCA